RNA transcript from Mus musculus (house mouse), 5151 nucleotides. It is a transcript of the gene named ATPase, class VI, type 11B, with no coding region annotated. The transcript is spliced from 32 exons. The record is from RefSeq and is marked validated. NCBI's taxonomy places the organism in Eukaryota, Metazoa, Chordata, Mammalia, Rodentia, Muridae.
GGGCCCAUGGCGGGCGAGGGCGGGGCGGCGCCGUGGGGGCGGCGGUGCUUCGGGUGACAACGGUCAGAGAUGAAGGUGGCGGCGGCUCAGCGGGGAGUAGUGCUGCGCCGGGCGCGGUUGGCAGCCAGGCCGCGCCUGUAGGACCUCCGGGCCGGGGUGGCGGGAUGGGGACCCGACUCGGGUAGAAAAGCGGGGACAGCAGAGAGCAGAACUUAAGCCCGAGGGGCUCGCCUGCUCCGGUCACACUCGGAGUCCUCUUCCACCUGCUGCCGCUCGGUCCCGCGUCCGGCGGGCCACGACGGCGUCGGCGACGGCGGGGGCAUGUGGCGCUGGGUCCGGCAGCAGCUGGGUUUUGACCCACCACAUCAAAGUGACACAAGAACUAUUUACAUAGCCAACAGGUUUCCUCAGAAUGGCCUUUACACACCUCAGAAAUUUAUAGAUAACCGGAUCAUUUCAUCUAAGUAUACUAUAUGGAAUUUUGUUCCAAAAAAUUUAUUUGAACAGUUCAGAAGAGUGGCAAACUUUUAUUUUCUUAUUAUAUUUUUGGUUCAGCUUAUGAUUGAUACACCUACCAGUCCAAUUACCAGUGGACUUCCAUUAUUCUUUGUGAUAACAGUAACUGCCAUAAAACAGGGUUAUGAAGACUGGUUACGCCAUAACUCAGAUAAUGAAGUAAACGGAGCUCCUGUCUAUGUUGUCAGAAGUGGGGGGCUUGUAAAAACUCGAUCCAAAAACAUUCGGGUGGGUGAUAUUGUUCGUAUAGCCAAAGAUGAAAUUUUUCCUGCAGAUUUGGUGCUUCUGUCCUCAGAUCGACUUGAUGGUUCAUGUCAUGUGACAACUGCUAGUUUGGAUGGAGAGACAAACCUAAAGACACAUGUGUCAGUUCCAGAAACAGCAGUAUUACAAACAGUUGCCAACUUGGACAGUCUCAUAGCUGUAAUAGAAUGCCAACAGCCAGAAGCAGAUUUAUACAGAUUUAUGGGACGAAUGAUAAUAACUCAACAAAUGGAAGAAAUUGUAAGACCUCUGGGACCAGAGAGUCUCUUGCUUCGUGGAGCCAGAUUAAAAAAUACAAAAGAAAUUUUUGGUGUGGCUGUAUACACUGGAAUGGAAACUAAGAUGGCACUAAAUUACAAGAGCAAGUCACAGAAAAGAUCUGCAGUAGAAAAAUCAAUGAACACAUUUUUAAUAAUUUACCUAAUAAUACUUAUUUCUGAGGCCAUCAUCAGUACGAUCUUGAAAUAUACCUGGCAAGCUGAAGAAAAAUGGGAUGAACCUUGGUAUAACCAAAAAACAGAACAUCAAAGAAACAGUAGUAAGAUUCUGAGAUUUAUUUCUGACUUCCUUGCUUUUUUGGUACUCUACAAUUUCAUCAUUCCAAUUUCUCUGUAUGUGACAGUUGAGAUGCAGAAAUUUCUUGGAUCAUUUUUUAUUGGCUGGGAUCUUGAUCUGUAUCACGAAGAGUCAGAUCAGAAAGCUCAAGUCAAUACUUCUGAUCUGAAUGAAGAGCUUGGGCAGGUGGAAUAUGUAUUUACAGAUAAAACUGGAACACUGACAGAAAAUGAGAUGCAGUUUCGAGAAUGUUCAAUUAAUGGCCUGAAAUACCAAGAAAUCAAUGGUAAACUUGUACCUGAAGGACCAAGCCCAGACUCCACAGAAGGAGAAGUGCCUUUCCUUGGUAGUUUAUCCCAUCUCAGCAACUCAGCCCAUCUCACAGCCACUUCUCUUAGAACCAGUCCUGAAAGUGAAACUGAGCUAAUCAAAGAACACGAUCUGUUCUUUAAAGCAGUCAGUCUUUGCCAUACUGUACAGAUCAGCAAUGUUCAAACUGACGGCAUCGGGGAUGGUCCCUGGCAGCCCAACCUGGCACCUGCACAGCUGGAGUACUAUGCAUCUUCACCAGAUGAAAAGGCUCUGGUGGAAGCUGCGGCAAGAGCUGGUAUUAUAUUUGUAGGCAUUUCUGAAGAAACUAUGGAGGUUAAAGUACUUGGGAGAUUGGAAAGGUACAAAUUGCUUCAUAUUCUGGAAUUUGAUUCAGAUCGUAGGAGAAUGAGUGUAAUUGUUCAGGCACCUUCAGGUGAGAAGCUUUUAUUUGCUAAAGGAGCAGAAUCUUCAAUUCUCCCUAAAUGUAUAGGUGGAGAAAUAGCAAAAACCAGAAUUCAUGUUGAUGAGUUUGCUUUGAAAGGACUGCGGACACUGUGUAUAGCUUACAGACAGUUUACAGCUAAAGAGUAUGAAGAUGUAGACAGGCGCCUGUUUGAGGCCAGAACUGCCUUGCAGCAUCGGGAAGAGAAAUUGGCUGAUGCCUUCCAGUACAUUGAGAAAGACCUGAUAUUGCUAGGAGCUACAGCAGUGGAAGACAGACUACAAGAUAAAGUUCGAGAAACUAUUGAAGCACUGAGAAUGGCUGGUAUUAAAGUAUGGGUACUUACUGGAGACAAACAUGAAACAGCUGUUAGUGUGAGUUUAUCUUGUGGACAUUUUCAUAGAACUAUGAAUAUCCUGGAACUUAUCAACCAGAAGUCAGAUAGUGGAUGUGCUGAACAGUUGAGGCAGCUUGCCAGAAGAAUUACAGAGGACCAUGUGAUUCAGCAUGGGCUAGUAGUAGAUGGGACCAGCUUAUCUCUUGCACUCAGGGAACAUGAAAAGCUCUUUAUGGAAGUUUGCAGAAACUGUUCAGCUGUAUUAUGUUGUCGCAUGGCACCUUUACAGAAAGCAAAAGUAAUAAGACUGAUAAAAAUCUCUCCUGAGAAACCGAUAACACUGGCUGUUGGUGAUGGUGCUAAUGAUGUAAGCAUGAUACAAGAAGCGCAUGUUGGCAUAGGAAUCAUGGGUAAAGAGGGAAGACAAGCUGCAAGAAACAGUGACUAUGCAAUAGCUAGAUUUAAAUUUCUCUCCAAAUUACUUUUUGUUCACGGUCAUUUUUAUUAUAUUAGAAUAGCUACCCUUGUACAGUAUUUUUUUUAUAAGAAUGUGUGCUUUAUCACACCCCAGUUUUUAUAUCAGUUCUACUGUUUGUUUUCUCAACAAACACUGUAUGACAGCGUGUACCUGACUUUAUACAAUAUCUGUUUUACUUCCCUACCUGUUCUCAUAUAUAGUCUUGUGGAACAACAUAUAGACCCACACGUAUUACAGAGCAAGCCUACCCUCUAUCGGGACAUUAGUAAAAACGGUCUCUUGAGCAUUAAAGCAUUUCUUUACUGGACCGUCCUGGGUUUCAGCCAUGCCUUCAUUUUCUUCUUUGGAUCCUACUUUCUAGUGGGGAAGGAUACAUCUUUGCUUGGAAAUGGUCAGAUGUUUGGAAACUGGACAUUUGGUACUUUGGUCUUCACAGUCAUGGUUAUUACAGUCACAGUAAAGAUGGCAUUGGAAACUCAUUUCUGGACUUGGAUCAACCAUCUUGUUACCUGGGGAUCUAUUAUAUUUUAUUUUAUAUUUUCUUUGUUUUAUGGUGGAAUUCUCUGGCCAUUUUUGGGCUCCCAGAAUAUGUACUUUGUAUUUAUUCAGCUCCUGUCAAGUGGGUCAGCUUGGUUUGCCAUACUCCUCAUGGUUGUUACAUGUCUAUUCAUUGAUGUUGUGAAGAAAGUGUUUGAUCGACAGCUUCAUCCUACAAGUACAGAAAAGGCACAGAUGUACUCCAACACAGUGGCUUUAAGUGACGAGUUCAUCGCACUGCAGCCUUUGUCGAGGGCAAGGAAUCAGCUGGGCAAACUUAGAUGGAAGAAGAUCAGGGUUCAGUCGGCUCAGCAUAUGAACCUGCUGAGAGCCAGCACAGAGGGGAGGACAGUAGGCACCUGCUAGCUGAGGCUGGUGGCCAGCAGGACAGUGCUUGCGUGCACUAGCUUGCUGAAGCUCAUUCCAGUGUCAAGUGCUUGGACUCCGUGUGCUGUUUCCCAGGAGAGACCCCGUGUGCGUCUGUUGGAAGAAUGCUGGAGCGAGUCAUAGGACGGUGUAGUCCCAACCAUAUCAGCAGGUUGUGGAAUGCAUCGGAUCCAUUCUAUACCAAUGACAGGAGCAUCUUGACUCUCUCGCCAAUGGACUCAUCUACUUGUUAAAGGGACAGUAGGACUUUGUGGAACAAGUUCACUUGUCCUCAGGUUUGGGGUCACCAUCCAGUUGUAAAAGGCCAGUUACUUUCUGAAAUCUCUUGAGGAAUUGACACUUUCUCAGAGUCCAUGGGAAACAGGCAGUUAUAUGAACCCUUCUCCUUUCUCUUUAAUUUGAAUGUGAAUAUAUUAAAAUUUGGAGAUAAAGAGAUAGUAACAAUCUCUUUGUCUGGUUUGUCCCUUCUGAUCAUGGGACUCCUGGUGGCAUUGCAGCCUUUGCUGAGGCCACUGUACUUUAAUAUCAAGGUAGAGAAAGGGGUCAUUCUUGGUUAUGUGUAGUUUAAGAUGAGGGUGGUUUGGGACUCUUCUAUUUAAAUCUGCUUCUGUAAAUUUUGCUAAAGAUUUGCCUUGAGAACUCUAUUUUUUUUAUUAGAUUAUAUUUGAAGCUUUUCGUGGGGAAAGUUAAUGUGAAUAUCAAGGAAUUUUGGUCCUUCAGUGACCUCUGUUAAUUCAUUAGUACUUUUUAAGUCACAGAGCAACUAGGAGAGCACGUUUCUAACCACUGUCUUUUGCGGUGUGGGUAAUAAGCUUAUACUGACCCCACUUCUUUAACGAUGCUGUAACCCAGCCAGUGACGCUAAUCCUACAAGUGCAAAGGGAGUUUUGCAUCUCAUGUCCAAGUCAGAAUUAGGGCCAUUUACUAGACUUCAAAUUGGUGUUUGCUAAUAUUUUUGUGGCCAAGUAUGUAAACUUGUAGUGGGUAAAUUCAAUACUUUUGUCAUAUUAAUUUACUGUAUCUGUCUUAUCUUUUGCAUGCUUCAACCUGGCUAAUAUAUUUAAAUCCACCGCAUCUCUCCUCCCUCCCCCCAUUAUUACUUUCCUCUCUCUCCAAAGACUCUGUUCAUAGUUUUAUAACAAUAUUGUAAAGUUCAAUUGUAUCAAUAAAAAAAAAAAACAAGUUUGGACAGUAUUUAAAUAUUGCAAAUAUAUUUAAUUAUAUAAAUUAAAAUAUAAGCCAUAAUGUCUUUCUUUGGCCCACUUAGAAUUGCUCUUGACUUGCUGUAAACCAACCUUCAGAAUAAAGGACUUUUGUUAAGAA